ACAGCUCUGGCGCCAUAAUCAGGGUCGCGGGUUGGGAUCAGCUGUGCCUCCCCAUCCCCACCCCCUACAGACCACCUCCCCUUACCCUGCCUGCCUGGAGCCCCAGCUGGCUCUUGGAAGGUCCCUUUCCAAUUUGCUCCACAUUCGGGAGUUUCUUAUUCCCACGGGAAGAACUCGUUGCCAUGGCGAUGUGCGCCUCCCAACCCUGAAGCCCGCCCUGGAAGCGAAAUCCUUGCCUGGGCUCCCAGGCUGAGCCGGAGGACCCCGGGGGUUCACCUAGCCCUCUGGGAUAAGGGGCUUUAGUCUCUAUAUUCUUUGGGCUUGGGGGUUGGGGACAGUGGGAGGAUUAAUUAUGGAGGCAAGGUCAGAGGAAAAGGGAAAAAUGGGAAAGAUUUUAUUUAAAGCCCCUGGUCAUUCUUGCCUUUCCGCCCGCCCACCACGACCCCUCAAGCCAGAUGCCGUCUCUAGUUCGGGAGCGUUGGAUGAGGAUGCCAGGCACUCUGCUUUUCCUAAACAACUUCCAAGAACCCCGGAACAUUUCUUAAAGUGUCUGGAACGAAGCUUUAACCUCGCCUGCUCCAUCAGCCUGGGACGGAAAAGACGCGAGGGGCGAAGAAGAGGUGGGGCACGGGGAGCCCGGGCCGUUCGGCGUAAGUGAUCCAGGCUUCCAGCGCCCCGGGCGCACCCCGCGGAAAGGCGUCUGGGAGUCGGGGACGUGCGGGGGGAGACCACCCGGCCAACCCCGGGGGAUGAGCUGCAAGGCUGGCCACGCCCGGCAGGAGACUGCGCGCAGAGACCCGCCCGGGGAAGCACGGGAGGAGGGAGGGCGGCCAUGUACAACCCCUGGCAGGUGGGAGCCUCCCUGGCGCCAGCUCGGGCAGGGCCACGCCCCUUCCCAACUCCCCGCGCUCGGCCUCCGGACUGCUCAGGGGGCCACGCCCCUUCCGGAUUCCCCGCGCUAGGCCUCCGGACCGCUCAGCGGCCCCGCCCCUUCUCGAGUUCUCCGCGCUCGGCCUCCGGACGGCUCAGGGGGCCACGCCCCGUCGCCCGGGGCCCCGCCCACUCCUCAAGCCCCACGGGACUCCCAGCCUACCUCCCUCCCGCUGCCGCACUGGACUCCCAGACCUCGGCACCAACCGUAUCUCCUGUUACUCGCCCCAGGGUGGUUGCCCGGGGAAAAACUCCAAGGGUUUCACUGGCUGGCCUGGAAACCCUUUCAUCUUUGCUCCAUCAGCAGCAGCUCUUUGAUUGAGUUCUCCUGGCUUUAGAGCCUCCCACUAUGGUCAUGCUGCAAAUUCCCGUGGCCAGCACCCGAGGCCUGCUGGCUCCGAUCUGGGCCACGUGUACAACCAGGUGUGCCCCCUUAGCCUCACGCCCUCCUCCUGUUGCCUCCCCAUCCCUCUAGCCUUCGGGACUUGGGGUUGCAAUGAAUCUUAGGUUUUUUCCAGGAGUCUUUUAUUCCUCCAGCGUCUCCGUGCGCCUGUCCGCUCCAACACCUGACAUUUUCCUUCAACUCCACCCUCCCCUCCCCGAGUCCACAGACACACACCCACCCACACGCCUCUUCCCUUCCCCUCCACCCUCAGUCAGCGGCAGAGUCAGUCCAUCCAAUAGGCAGGAGCCCAAAAGACUGUCCACGGACAGCUGUCCUCUCGCCCAGGAGAGUGGGGCUGCACACAGCAGCAGGCCCAGGAGGAAAUCGUGCUUUGAUAGCCCCAGGCAUCGUAUUUCAUCGUAUUUCACAAGUGAGCCAAAUGGAGAAGGGAUUAGCUGUUUCACCCAAUAAGCCCACAUCUGUAGUUACAUUCUGACUGGGAUAAAAUUACCCUGGUUAUUAAUCCUUCUGCUUUAGGGCAUAAGCUGAUCACCAGCUGGGGUCAGGAAAAAACUCCACCCCAGCUCCUUCCAACUUGCUCCCCCAUCCUCAGCUGCUCCAUUUCCUGUGGUCUAUUCUUGCACAGUUAGGUCUACAAGCCAGGUUCAAGGCCACCAACUGAGGCACCUGUCCCGAGACAGGACCAUUCUAAUCUGCCCUGAAAAGGACAUCCCAUUGAUCAUGUAAGUAUGUACUGAGAAUCUACUGUGGGCAAGACAUUGGUCUUCGCUGUGGGAGAUACAAAAACCAUUCAGGCAUGGCCCUUGCCUUUUUCAUGCCAAGAAAAGCUGAAGUGUGUGGUCAGAAAUUGCAUGUGGUUUCUGGGACUUACUGCCCUGAAGCACCCUGGGUGUAUCGGAUGGCCUCAGGGAACACAGUUUGGGUAUGGGCAGUAUUUUCAUGCCCAUUGCCAUUCCCUUCUGCCUCAAGUGUAUGUGGGCUUUCCCUGCAGUCAGCCAGCAGGCCAGGCCAGGGUGGCUUUGUUUCUGUCUCUGACCCUUUCUCUUCAGACUCCAAAUCUGCAGGUGCUGGAGACUUUGAAGGAGUCUCCGUUUCCCUUGGUAGAAACAAGAGGUAGGAACAAGCAGGUGGAAAGCCAGGGUUACUCCUUCCAGCCAAUGGGUCUGGGGCUGCAGCACACAAAGUUGACAUCCCGAAAGGCCAUUUUCCUCGAUCGCUUCAGACCUGGCAUUGGGUGGACAGACCACAUGAUUCAGCAUCCAAAUUGGAGAUCUCUCAAUAACAGAAAGAGGUGCCAUUGAUAAUUUCGUGGAACUUUCCUGAGCACACCAGGGUGUGCUCAUUCUUCCUGAGGGGUCAUCUCCCUUGGGCAUCGUAAGAGGCACCACUGAGACACAACAGCUUUUGUCACCAUUUCCCAAUUGUGUCCCAAGCUCUCUGUCCUCUUCCCUGUGCUGGUCAUCUCACAGUCUUCUUCUGCAGGUAGAUCCCCCCUACUUCAGCCCUUCCUCCCACCUCAGCUCCUUUGUUCCCGCUGCCAUGCCCAGAACAACCUAUAUUUCCACUCUCCAACCUUGGAUCAACCCAACUGUGUUUUCACGCUACUAUGUCCAGGAUACUGGAUGAUACUAGAGAUAGCCAUCAGUAACAUUCAUUACAUGAAUAAGUCUGGGUUGAUCCUGUGACACAGUUAUGCCUUCUACCCUCUGCUGCUUCUCAACAUUGCUCAGUCCUUAUGUUGGUGUUCUCAUUUCACAUGAUAGAGUUCCAAACCUUUUGUAGCCCGAAUCGUCAUCUAUCCCCUAAUUCUUGGAAAAGACCCUAACUUCACCAAUAGCAACAACAAUCAAAACCAACUGAACAAACAAAAAAAUACUUAAGAUACGAACCUCUCAGAUUUUCUGAACUCUCCACCUCCAGACUAAAUUUGUGGAUGGAUACCUAUCUGUUGACCAGACCCUCCCUCUUCAAUGAAAACUGCCUCUCCUUCCACUCCAUCUGUGAGGCACCCUUGGAUGCUGACAUGUGCUUACAUAGGACUUCCUGUCCACAGCCAGAAUUAGCCAGAAUUCACUGACCCAUGGUUGGACUCCUAAAAUACUCAAGAUGAGAGACAUGUUACUUUUCUUUACUAUAGUAACUAUCAAAUGCAUCCCAUAACCUUAUGUUGUAAAUGUCAAAUAUGCACAAUAAAAUUUAUUUGAAAAAAUAAA
This 3549-nucleotide long non-coding RNA is filed under the name Homo sapiens (human). RNAcentral's name for it is "non-protein coding lnc-ZEB1-1:3". The record is from RNAcentral. Lineage: Eukaryota; Metazoa; Chordata; Mammalia; Primates; Hominidae.